This 253-nucleotide ribosomal RNA is filed under the name uncultured bacterium. RNAcentral's name for it is "partial 16S ribosomal RNA". It matches the Rfam family "Bacterial small subunit ribosomal RNA", at positions 524 to 776 of the family's 1533-position model. The record is from RNAcentral.
UACGUGGGGGGCAAGCGUUGUUCGGAAUUACUGGGCGUAAAGGGCGCGUAGGUGGCCAACUAAGUCAGACGUGAAAUCCCUCGGCUUAACCGGGGAACUGCGUCUGAUACUGGAUGGCUUGAGUGUGGGAGAGGGAUGCGGAAUUCCAGGUGUAGCGGUGAAAUGCGUAGAUAUCUGGAGGAAUACCGGUGGCGAAGGCGGCAUCCUGGACCGACAUUGACGCUGAGGAGCGAAAGCUAGGGGAGCAAACGGG